AAUGAAGUGACUGAGGAUAGGUGAUAAAUUGUAAAUUUAUUUAUGAGGCGUGUGUCUCCUUCAUUA
Molecule: transfer RNA, 66 nt
Filed under: Coleoptera sp. 2 AH-2016
Lineage: Eukaryota; Metazoa; Arthropoda; Insecta; Coleoptera
Description: tRNA-Tyr
Source: RNAcentral